Molecule: ribosomal RNA, 256 nt
Filed under: uncultured bacterium
Lineage: Bacteria
Description: partial 16S ribosomal RNA
Rfam family: Bacterial small subunit ribosomal RNA
Source: RNAcentral
CACGUAGGGGGGCGAGCGUUGUCCGGAUUCAUUGGGCGUAAAGGGUGCGUAGGCGGCGCGGUAAGUCGGGUGUGAAAUCUCGGAGCUUAACUCCGAAACUGCAUUCGAUACUGCCGUGCUUGAGGACUGGAGAGGAGACUGGAAUUUACGGUGUAGCGGUGAAAUGCGUAGAUAUCGUAAGGAAGACCAGUGGCGAAGGCGGGUCUCUGGACAGGUUCCUGACGCUGAGGCACGAAGGUCAGGGGAGCAAACGGGG